Molecule: ribosomal RNA, 253 nt
Filed under: uncultured bacterium
Lineage: Bacteria
Description: partial 16S ribosomal RNA
Rfam family: Bacterial small subunit ribosomal RNA
Source: RNAcentral
UACGUAGGGUGCGAGCGUUAAUCGGAAUUACUGGGCGUAAAGUGUGCGCAGGCGGCCGCGCAAGUCGAGUGUGAAAGCCCCGAGCUUAACUUGGGAAUUGCGCUCGAAACUACGUGGCUGGAGUGUGGCAGAGGAAGGUGGAAUUCCACGUGUAGCGGUGAAAUGCGCAGAUAUCAGGAGGAACACCGGUGGCGAAGGCGGUUCUCUGGGCAUGUCCUGACGCUGAGGAGCGAAAGUGUGGGGAGCGAACAGG